Amyelois transitella is the source of this 648-nucleotide long non-coding RNA. RefSeq lists it as uncharacterized. Lineage: Eukaryota; Metazoa; Arthropoda; Insecta; Lepidoptera; Pyralidae. The record is from RefSeq and is a predicted model, not a curated record. The transcript is spliced from 2 exons.
UGUAGUUGACUCAUUGUUGGUGAAGUAUAAAAGCCAAAAGGAACUUAAAGUUCUAAGUAAUUGAGCUUUGCGUUUCAAGCAAAAAGGACGACCUCGCACACCCUGGUUCUAGCGAAACAAUGAAGUUCUUAAAGGUUGCCUUUAUUUUUGCAUUGAUCGCAAUGACCUUGGCGCCGGCCGCUGCACGUCCAGAUUUUUGGAAGGAUCUCGGAAAAGGACUUGAGGGUGUUGGACAAAGAGUGCGAGACUCCAUCAUCAGCGCAAGACCAGCCGUGGACACGAUUGCGCAAGCGCAGCAAAUUCUUCAAGGUGGAGCGAGAAAUGAAUAAUAUCGUGGUCUUGUUAGAAGGCAUAUAAAACCAUGGAUCAUACAAUUUCGCCUUUUUCCCGGAGUGGUGGUCUGAGAUCUGUGAUAAACUGUUAUUUUUAUUUUAUUACAAUUCUAUCAUUAAGCCUAACAGCUUAACGUGGCCUUUCAUCAUAUCAGUCUUCAUAUCAGGUAUAUAUCCCUUGUGGUGAAGACAGCUACACCACAAGGGAUAUAGACCUGAAUAUAUGAAUGAAUGAAUGAAAAUUAUAAUAAAUUCAAACUACUCCAAAUCACUAUUUAGGUAUUAAGUUUUAUAAUAAAGUUACAAUGUAAAAUAA